This 725-nucleotide long non-coding RNA is filed under the name Lotus japonicus. RNAcentral describes it as "long non-coding RNA (LJAP_LNC000648)". The record is from RNAcentral. Lineage: Eukaryota; Viridiplantae; Streptophyta; Magnoliopsida; Fabales; Fabaceae.
CUCGUGGUCCCCCAAAGUGGCAAACGUCCGUCACUUUAGUCCUUGACGUUAAAAAACACUAACAAACGUUAACAAAUUCCUUUUUUCAAAAUUGAAAAAUCAUUUAAUUAAACUAGAAUAACAAUUGAACUAAAAAUCUAAUUAAUUAAAGCAGAAAAGUGCAAUUAAGAUUCAAAAUAACCUUCUUCAUCAUUUCUUCUCCUCCCCCACCUCCAAUCACCCCAUACCUCUUUCACCCAGAAAUAAUCAACAAUACUAUGCUUCAUGGGCAAUAAUACUAAGCUUUUUAGGCCAUGAAAAGAACAAGAGGAGCAACAAUGUAAGUUACUAAUCUGGUACCUCCACUUAAACCACAACGUGCAAGAAUUCUUCAGCAAACCAAGAGAACAAAAACCCCUAAAUACCAAGUGAUCAAUUUGCACCUCAAAACCUCUCGGCAAAACGGAAAAAGAAUGCACCAAGCUUGACACCAACACCAUAAGACCUGGGAAAAGCAUAAUCAGCAGUUUCAAACUUCUUCAAAACCACAAUCAAAAAUUAGGUUCCACUCUUUCCUUCUUCCACUAAAAUUCAUCUUCUUCCCAACCAGAUCCCAGAUUCAAAAUCCUUUUCUUCACCGUUUCCUUCACCCCAUCUCCACUCAUCCCCCAAUAUCCCGGAAAUAACAAUCUUGAAGAGAAGAGUGUGAGCAGCGACUGACCGCAAUCGUCCUCCGCCACCACCGC